GACGAACGCUGGCGGCGUGCUUAACCCAUGCAAGUCGAACGGUUAAGCGCCUUCCUUUUUGGUGGGUGUGGAUGAGUGGCGAACGGGUGAGUAACACGUGAGUAACCUGCCCCCUUCUUCUGGAUAACCUCAUGAAAGUGUGUCUAAUACGGGAUAUUCUGGGUCUUUCUCAUGAUGGGUCUGGUAAAGAUAUUGUUUCGGUGGGGGAUGGGCUCGCGGCCUAUCAGCUUGUUGGUGGGGUGAUGGCCUACCAAGGCGGUGACGGGUAGCCGGCCUGAGAGGGGGGACGGUCAGAAUGGGACUGAGAAAAGGCCGAGACGGCGACGGGAGGCAGAAGUGGGGAAGAGUGAACAAGGGGAGAAAGCCGGAUGCAGAGACGACGCGUGAGGGAUGGAGGCCGUCGGGUGGGGAACGGCGUUGGGCAGUGAAGCAGGCCGGCCGCGGUUGUGGGGGGGUUGACGGUAGCGGGAUAAGAAGCGACGGAUAAAUACGUG
RNAcentral lists this ribosomal RNA (494 nucleotides) under uncultured bacterium. RNAcentral's name for it is "partial 16S ribosomal RNA". It matches the Rfam family "Bacterial small subunit ribosomal RNA", at positions 28 to 507 of the family's 1533-position model. The record is from RNAcentral.